UCUCUCCAGGUUGACCUCGGAUCAGGUAGGGAUACCCGCUGAACUUAAGCAUAU
Molecule: ribosomal RNA, 54 nt
Filed under: Aspergillus tanneri
Lineage: Eukaryota; Fungi; Ascomycota; Eurotiomycetes; Eurotiales; Aspergillaceae
Description: partial 28S ribosomal RNA
Source: RNAcentral